AAACAAGGAAAGGAAAUUACGAAAUCCGACGAACCUUCGCCAGAAAAUUUAUUAAAAAUGUUACUGUCUGCGGUAUAAAACGAUACAACUGCCAUCGAUAAGAACGAUUCGACCAAAUAAAAUCCAGGCGCGAAAGAAUUUUAUGUAACCCGUGGAUCUCGGUUGGCAAAAGCUUUCAAGAAGAACGAGUGUAGCCUGUAAAGUAGAUGUCCAGAGCCGAACGGCAGCUGCACGAGAGAAGCUUAUUUUUAAAUCAACGUCCAUUAAGGCUGGAGCGCAAGGAUUGUCCAAUGACGACCAUCGCCGUACGCGCCGAGGCACGAAACGAAAGAUUAUCCGCUUGCACAUGGAAGACGACUCGCUGCUGAGAGGAUCGUACGUGUGUAACAGAGGCGUGAAAAAAAUUGCACGCUUUAACAGCCGCGUAUAAAUUAUACGCAACCGAGCCGAUCAUGCACCGCGAUAUGGCACGUGCACGUGUGUAAUUGUCGUUCAAAAUAUCGUUGGUCGUUGCGAUAAGUGUGAAUCAGAGAUGAGGAACGUUCGAUGAAACGCCGGAUGAUUGGCGCGAUUUCUAUCAUACUUUCUAUCGCGAGGUACAAGCAUAAGUAAAUAUGUAAUUUAA
This 625-nucleotide unclassified non-coding RNA is filed under the name Bombus terrestris (buff-tailed bumblebee). RNAcentral describes it as "misc RNA ENSBTSG00005029523.1". The record is from RNAcentral. Lineage: Eukaryota; Metazoa; Arthropoda; Insecta; Hymenoptera; Apidae.